RNAcentral lists this ribosomal RNA (497 nucleotides) under uncultured bacterium. RNAcentral's name for it is "partial 16S ribosomal RNA". It matches the Rfam family "Bacterial small subunit ribosomal RNA", at positions 28 to 507 of the family's 1533-position model. The record is from RNAcentral.
GAUGAACGCUGGCGGCGUGCCUAAUACAUGCAAGUCGAGCGAACGGGCGAGAAGCUUGCUUCUCUGAUGUUAGCGGCGGACGGGUGAGUAACACGUGGAUAACCUACCUAUAAGACUGGGAUAACUUCGGGAAACCGGAGCUAAUACCGGAUGAUAUUUUGAACCGCAUGGUUCAAAAGUGAAAGACAGUCUUGCUGUCACUUAUAGAUGGAUCCGCGCUGCAUUAGCUAGUUGGUAAGGUAACGGCUUACCAAGGCAACGAUGCAUAGCCGACCUGAGAGGGUGAUCGGCCACACUGGAACUGAGACACGGUCCAGACUCCUACGGGAGGCAGCAGUAGGGAAUCUUCCGCAAUGGGCGAAAGCCUGACGGAGCAACGCCGCGUGAGUGAUGAAGGUCUUCGGAUCGUAAAACUCUGUUAUUAGGGAAGAACAUAUGUGUAAGUAACUGUGCACAUCUUGACGGUACCUAAUCAGAAAGCCACGGCUAACUACGUG